UACGUAGGGUCCGAGCGUUAAUCGGAAUUACUGGGCGUAAAGCGUGCGCAGGCGGUUUUGUAAGCCAGAUGUGAAAUCCCCGGGCUUAACUUGGGAACUGCAUUUGGGACUGCAAGGCUGGAGUACGGCAGAGGGAGGUGGAAUUCCACGUGUAGCAGUGAAAUGCGUAGAGAUGUGGAGGAACACCGGUGGCGAAGGCGGGUCUCUGGGCCGAUACUGACGCUGAGGAGCGAAAGCGUGGGGAGCAAACAGG
This 253-nucleotide ribosomal RNA is filed under the name uncultured bacterium. RNAcentral's name for it is "partial 16S ribosomal RNA". It matches the Rfam family "Bacterial small subunit ribosomal RNA", at positions 524 to 776 of the family's 1533-position model. The record is from RNAcentral.